GACGAACGCUGGCGGCGUGCUUAACACAUGCAAGUCGAACGGUAAGGCCCUUCGGGGUACACGAGUGGCGAACGGGUGAGUAACACGUGGGUGAUCUGCCCUGCACUUCGGGAUAAGCCUGGGAAACUGGGUCUAAUACCGGAUAGGACCACUGCCUGCAUGGGUGGCGGUGGAAAGCUUUUGCGGUGUGGGAUGGGCCCGCGGCCUAUCAGCUUGGUGGUGGGGUGAUGGCCUACCAAGGCGCCGACGGGUAGCCGGCCUGGGGGGGUGACCGGCCAGACUGGGACUGAGUUACGGCCCAGAGUCCUACGGGAGGCAGCAGUGGGAAAUAUUGCACAAUGGGCGCAAGCCUGAUGCAGCGACGCCGCGUGAGGGAUGACGGCCUUCGGGUUAUAAACCUCUUUCAGCACCGACGAAGCGCAAGUGACGGUAGGUGCAGAAGAAGGACCGGCCAACUACGUACCAGCCGCCGCUGUAA
Molecule: ribosomal RNA, 478 nt
Filed under: uncultured bacterium
Lineage: Bacteria
Description: partial 16S ribosomal RNA
Rfam family: Bacterial small subunit ribosomal RNA
Source: RNAcentral